This 353-nucleotide unclassified non-coding RNA is filed under the name Ascomycota sp. Its description in RNAcentral is "partial contains small subunit ribosomal RNA, internal transcribed spacer 1, and 5.8S ribosomal RNA". The stretch from base 1 to 47 matches the Rfam family "Eukaryotic small subunit ribosomal RNA", at positions 1785 to 1831 of the family's 1831-position model. The record is from RNAcentral. Lineage: Eukaryota; Fungi; Ascomycota.
AAAGUCGUAACAAGGUUUCCGUAGGUGAACCUGCGGAAGGAUCAUUACUGAGGAUUUCCUGGCGCACGCUGGGGAGACCCGACCUAUUGUCAUGUGCACGUUUGGGGGAGGAACGGUGGGUGGUUUGGCGUUUUGUGGCGUGUGACGGAUGGUGCCCGAGAGGGUGGUCAUCUGGAACGGCCCGCGCUGGCUGCCGCCGCCCCCGACGAACCUUAACUUCGGCGGAAGAGGUAGGCCUGGACCUGCCCGCCGCCGGCCGUAUGUUAUGUCUACUCUGCAACGAGAAUCUGAAGCCUGACAACACCCAAACAAAAUGAAAAGCAAAACUUUCAACAACGGAUCUCUUGGCUCUG